AACGCGAAGAACCUUACCUACCCUUGACAUGCUCGGAAUCUACUAGAGAUAGUGGAGUGCCUUCGGGAACCGAGACACAGGUGCUGCAUGGCUGUCGUCAGCUCGUGUCGUGAGAUGUUGGGUUAAGUCCCGUAACGAGCGCAACCCCUAUCCUUAGUUGCCAACAGGUAAAGCUGGGAACUCUAAGGAGACUGCCGGUGACAAGCCGGAGGAAGGUGGGGAUGAUGUCAAGUCCUCAUGGCCCUUACGGGUAGGGCUACACACGUGUUACAAUGGGCAGUACAAAGGGAAGCGAAGCCGCGAGGUGGAGCGAAUCUCAAUAAAGCUGUUCGUAGUCCGGAUUGGAGUCUGCAACUCGACUCCAUGAAGUUGGAAUCGCUAGUAAUCGCGGAUCAGAACGCCGCGGUGAAUACGUUCCCGGGCCUUGUACACACCGGUACUA
This 442-nucleotide ribosomal RNA is filed under the name uncultured bacterium. Its description in RNAcentral is "bacterial SSU rRNA". It matches the Rfam family "Bacterial small subunit ribosomal RNA", at positions 958 to 1398 of the family's 1533-position model. The record is from RNAcentral.